Molecule: ribosomal RNA, 1103 nt
Filed under: Pseudomonas sp. M5(S)_8F_S10157_A01_015
Lineage: Bacteria; Pseudomonadati; Pseudomonadota; Gammaproteobacteria; Pseudomonadales; Pseudomonadaceae
Description: bacterial SSU rRNA
Rfam family: Bacterial small subunit ribosomal RNA
Source: RNAcentral
GAAGGGGGUCCCCCCAAGGUUUGAUCCUGGCUCAGUAAGUCGUAACAAGGUAACCUUAUAGUUUGAUCCUGGCUCAAUAAAUGCCAACAAGGCUGCCUGGUAGUGGGGGAUUACGUUCCGAAAGGAACGCUAAUACCGCAUACAUCCUACGGGAGAAAGCGGGGGAUCUUCGGACCUCGCGCUAUCAGAUGAGCCUAGGUCGGAUUAGCUAGUUGGUGAGGUAAUGGCUCACCAAGGCGACAAUCCGUAACUGGUCUGAGAGGAUGAUCAGUCACACUGGAACUGAGACACGGUCCACACUCCUACGGGAGGCAGCAGUGGGGAAUAUUGGACAAUGGGCGAAAGCCUGAUCCAGCCAUGCCGCGAGUGUGAAGAAGGUCUUCGGAUUGUAAAGCACUUUAAGUUGGGAGGAAGGGUUGUAGAUAAUACUCUGCAAUUUUGACGUUACCGACAGAAUAAGCACCGGCUAACUUCGUGCCAGCAGCCGCGGUAAUACGAAGGGUGCAAGCGUUAAUCGGAAUUACUGGGCGUAAAGCGCGCGUAGGUGGUUCGUUAAGUUGGAUGUGAAAGCCCCGGGCUCAACCUGGGAACUGCAUCCAAACUGGCGAGCUAGAGUACGGUAGAGGGUAGUGGAAUUUCCUGUGUAGCGGUGAAAUGCGUAGAUAUAGGAGGAACACCAGUGGCGAAGCGACUACCUGGACUGAUACUGACACUGAGGUGCGAAAGCGUGCGGAGCAAACAGGAUUAGAUACCCUGGUAGUCCACGCCGUAACGAUGUCAACUAGCCUUUGGAAUCCUUGAGAUUUUAGUGGCGCACUACGCAUAAGUUGACCGCCUGGGGAGUACGGCCGCAGGUUAAACUCAAUGAAUUGACGGGGCCCGCACCAGCGGUGGAGCAGGUGGUUUAAUUCGAAGCACGCGAAAACCUUACCUGGCCCUUGACAUGCUGAGAACUUUCCAAGAUGGAUUGGUGCCUUCGGGAGCUCAGACCCAGUCCUGCAAGGCUUGUCGUCCACCUCGCGUCCGUGGAUGAUGGGUUAAGUCCCGUAACGAGCGCAACCUUGUUCCUUUAGUUACCAGCCCCUCGGGUGGGCCACUCUUAC